This is a long non-coding RNA of Cucumis sativus (cucumber), 4828 nucleotides long. RefSeq lists it as uncharacterized. The transcript has 3 exons. The record is from RefSeq and is a predicted model, not a curated record. Lineage: Eukaryota; Viridiplantae; Streptophyta; Magnoliopsida; Cucurbitales; Cucurbitaceae.
CUCUGCACAGAUAUUAACAAAACAACAACCAACAAAUUCAGUCCAACCUGCUUACUCCCUAUAUAUAUUUCGAAGGCAUGCAUCCACACCUACGACAAGGGAUUUUAUUAUUAAGCACAUAUUGGAAACUUCAAACUUGAGACCUCUAAGCAGUUAUGACCAAGACACUUGUUAUCUUAUGAGUUGGCAACAAUGGAGAUUUCUAUUAUGCAGAGAAUGGAGGUGAAAUUGUAGUAAAAGAAAAUGCAUAUCGAUUUAACGUGGUUAAGCAAAGAAGAGCCUACAUCCACGUAGAAGGACGGAAGAAAUCUAAGAUGAGUUCAUCUUUCUUUUUUUCUUUUGUAGUCUAUCUUUUGAACACUCAACACACCUUUAUAUAUUAGGUGUUUACAAGAGGAUGUAACAUGAAAAUAAAACUAAAUGUUGGAAUUCAAAAAUUUAUUAAAAAUCUCCACCUUGAAUCCAACGUAAUUCUUCAACCUUCAAGUAAAUUUUCGAUUUCUGUCUUUGUUUAUCCGUUUUUCACGUAAAUCAAAGCCUACCACAACUCAAAACAUUUUUGGAGCUUUAGCUUUAGAAUAUGUUUGGUUAGCAUAUCUGCUAUGUUGUCCAAGGUAUGGACCUUCAAAACUUUGAUUUCCCUCGUUUCUAUUCUUUCACGAACAAAAUGAAAUUUUAUAUCUAUGUGUUUUGUUCUACUGUGGAAUUGUGUGUUCUUGGAUAGAUGUAUGGUACUUUUGUUAUCAUAGUAGAUCUUAACUAUUGAUUGGUUAAUACCAAGGUCCUUCAUCAAUUGUUUGAGCCACAAUCCUUUUUUUACUGCCUCUGUAAGAGCUAAGUAUUUUUGGUUAUUUAGUUGAGAGAGCAACGAUAGAUUGUAGGGUUCCUUUCGAAUUGAUUGGAUUAGGGUGGUAGAGAGAAACAUACCUUGUUAGGCUUCUUCUUUUAUCAAUAUCACCAGCAAAUAGUCUGAAUCCACAUAGUCAAUUAGUUCUAAAUCUGAUUCUAAAUGUCUUCUGGUAAAUUAGUUUAGCAUACUUAGGCCAGAUUAGAUAUCUAAGAAUCAAUUUUGUUGCUUUCUCGUGUCUCUUACCGGGACUUUCCAUAUAUCUACUGACUAAACUUGCCAAAUAGGUUAAGUGAGGUCUAGUAGAGAUUAUUAAGUACAUGAGAUUUCCCACUGUUUGACUAUAAAGAACAUUCUUCAUUUGUUUAUUUUUGUUCUAUAUCGGUAUCAUUACGAGAAUUUGCUGCUAAAAGUUUGAAGUGUUGUGCAAUAGGAUUGGUCACAUGUCUAACAUUUGUUAUGGUUAAUUAAAUCUUCUAAUUAACUUCUCACCAGUAGGUUAAUUAGCUUACGCUUAGGAUAUAUUGGUCUUUAUCUCUAGCGAUGUCAAUUCAGAAUCUUCCUUGAUUCUUCCACGUCUUUCAUGUCGAAAUCUUUACCUAAAAGACCUUUUACAUGAGUUAUCAAAAUAGAGUAAUAAUAUAGGUCCUUGUCCUUGUAGGUUGUUGAGUUUAUGUAAGCACACAUAUCAUAUGAGCUUAUUUGAAAACUCAAACUAGCUAUAUAGUCAUUGAACCUUCUAUACCAGGAUCUAGGAGAUUGUUUCAACCCAUAGAUUGACUUUUUGAGCAAACAGUAUAGACCAUUCUUUCCUUUAACCUCAAACCCUUUAGGUUGUUCCAUGUAAAUGGUUUCAUCUAGAUAACUACGAAAAAAAAGCUUUCUUUACGUCAAGUUGGUUUAACUCCAAGUUGUUUUGAGCUACUAGUGAUAAAAGGAGUCUAAUAGAAGUUUGUUUAACAACCAAAGUGAGAAUUUUAGAAUAGUCUAUACCCUUGUGUUUGAGUGAAACCCUUAACUGUACCAACCUUAUUGUAUCUAGUCUUUGAAUUUUUUUGUAAUCCCUCAUUUAACUUAUAGAUCCACUUUGAUACUAUUGGUUUGCAUCCAUUUGAUAGAGAAACUAGGGUCCAAGGGUCAUUCACACUUAGUGGGUUCAUUUCUUAAUUCAAUAUUGCUUAUCUAACUAUCUAGUAUAGAACCAUUUAGUGGGUUAUUUAGCAUUGCUUAUAUCCACUGACUAGAGAGUGACUCUCUUAUGCUUGUAAUUCCAUUUUUUUCCUAAAAUCCUCUUCACAAAACUCCAAACCACUAUCAAUUCUAAGAUAUUUUAUAUUUUUUCUAUUUUUUUCUAUCAUCAAUUUCCAUUCUUUAAAUUUUCUAAAGACUUGGUCUUUAGUUUUUAGAAAAUAAAUCCUAGUAUUUCUAAGAAAAAUCAUCAGUAAAGGAUAAAUUGUACCUUGAGCCACUUAGGCUCGGGGUCGAGGUUGGUUCUCAUAGUUUCAAAUGGUUGUAGUCAAGGAUUCCUUUAGCAGUGUGUUGUGCUUUGAAGAAGCUUUGUCUUCUUGCUUUUCCUAACACACAAUGUUCACAAAAGGACAACUUCUUGCUAAUUUAUUUAGGUAGGAUGCCUCAUUUUGAUAAGUCUCUUUUGGCUAAUAUGAGUCUGUCUUUUCUGCCAAAAGUCAGCCUCGGUCAGAUUUAAUGUAGAUACUACAUUAACUUCAUUUAGCAUUUCAACUCCUUUGAUUAUGGAAAGGUUAAUUUAUCUUUUCUCCAACCAAAACAACCCUAGAAUCUUUUAGGACCUUAAAAACUUCACCUUCUCCUUUUGUAUUCACACCCCAAAGAGUCUAACAUUCCUAAGGUAAUUAUUUCUUUUGAGGUGAGGAACAAGUCUAACAUCUCUAAGAAAUUUCAGAGUUCCAUCGUUCAAUUUCAUAAUGACUAAUCCAAUACCAACAAUGUGACAAGCCUCAUUAUUUUCCAUGAAAAUUGACUCUUCAUUGAUUUCCUUGUAAGUGUUGAACUAGGUUUUAAAAGGUGUUAUGGUAGGUGCAGUCAGAGUUAAGAACCCAAUCAUAUUUACUAGAGGGGGUAGCAUAUGAUUUGUUUGGUCUUGGAUUGAUGCCAAAGCAUUUGAAUAGAUAAAAGAACUUUCUACCACGGAUGCUUCAUGUUGCUUUCAUUUAGAAUCUUUUUCUUUCUCUUAAUUCUUUUUCUUGAGAAAGAAACAGUCAUUUCUUCUUGGAGUAUUUACACUUCUGUUUUGCCUUCUUUUCUUCAUUUAACUCACUUUUUCUGUUCUUCCACUGAUUUGUUUAAGACUUUCAUUUGACAAAUAAUCCAUCUCCAUUGUGUUGAUCUUUUUUAGAUGACUAAAGCUCUAUUUCUUUUGUUUUAAGAACUUAAAAUUAUUGUAUCGAUUUUAACUGAAUCUCUGCCAUACUUAAGACCAUUCUUCACUUCUUUAUAGGAUUCAGGCAAGGAGUUUAGAAGCACAUAGGCUUCAUUUUCAUCACCUGGUUUGUAGGAAGAUCUUUGGUAGUAAAUAAGCUUUCUAACUUUGUCCAUAUCUUGUAUGCUGUAUCUUCUUCAAUUAUUUGCCUUAGGACAUUUAACUCCAUUGUCACAUUUAACUUUAUCCAUUUAACUUUGUCACAUUUAACUUACUCCAUAGGCAUUUAACUCCAUUUCUUCUCUUUCUUUGCAGUGAUGGUUAUUCUGGAAGUUUCUGAAAGUCUGUUGUGGUGUGUAUUUAACUCCAUUGUCACAUUUAACUUUGAGCCUUUUGGUGACCAAGGAAGAAUUUAAUUUUUGCACUCCAACAGGAAAAAUCACCAUUUCCAUCAAACUUUGAAUUUCAACUCUUGCUAUUGUCAUCCGCAGGUUUGAAACUGAUUCUUGAACCUCCAAGAUUUGUCUUCUUGAUAAUCAAGAUUGCUAUGAUAUUACCACUUUGUUGGGGUAUUUUUUGCGUUAUUUGUAUUAAGCCCAAAGAUGAAAGACAAAAUAUGUGGAGGAAGAGGAACCCACGAACAAAAUAAAAUAUCUUCUUGAGUUAGGUAGAAUGAAAUAUGGAGAAGAGGUUAUGUCAACCUUCUGUAUUACACUUGUUGGAGUCAACAUUUUGCAAGAAAUAAUCACCCCCAAUUCUUUUCUAAACGAAAACAAAGAAUUUGAGAAUGGAGGAGAAGAAGUAGUAAAAGAAAAUGCACACCAAUUUAACGUGGUUGGGCAAAGAAGAGCCUACAUCCACAGAGAAGGACUUUGAUUCUUGAAGAAAAGCUAAGAUGAGUACAACUGUCCUUUUUUUGUGUAGUCUAUUCUUUUGAACACUCAACACAGAACUUUAUAUAUCAGGAAAAUAAAUUUGUUACAAUUAACAGUAUGAUUUUUUUAACCAAUGACCAAAUCACUAAUUUUUAUUUUUUUAAUUUUGAUCUAACUAUUUUUUUUUUGUAGAACGAGAAUAACAAGGACCCCACCCACUAGGCCACUAAUCAAUAGCAAAAAGAAAAAGAAAACUUUAAAAGAUCAAACAAAAUAAAAUGAGAUUAUAUUAAAACAAAACUAUGCCUAUUAAUUUUCAUAAAUUGAAGACUAACCUUGAAUAUUGUUUAAUAAUUGGUCCUCUGAAAUGUAGGUUUUGUCAAGAGUUUUGCCAAUUUUGCUUUCCCAGAGGGCCACAAGUUCAUUGAUUGAGAGGACAUUUGGAGGAGGCUUAAUGUAAAGAAUUUUAUUCAAAGUUGUUGGAUCAUCCACUGCUUUAAUGGUGUAGGAAGCAAUGUCUUCUUCUUUGUUGAAAAUUACUGAAAAAUUGACAAAUUGAAACCAAACAAUAAACUCAUUAUCUUAUCUUAACUAGGAUGUAGACAUUUACCAGAAAACCCACAUUUGUGGACAGUAUUAUUGUACUAAUAGACAAAACACAAAGCAAUUUUAUUGAGAAAUAAUCAACUAUAUAUUAUAUGCCAAUAA